Molecule: long non-coding RNA, 4453 nt
Filed under: Sus scrofa (pig)
Lineage: Eukaryota; Metazoa; Chordata; Mammalia; Artiodactyla; Suidae
Description: lncRNA (ENSSSCG00065072445.1)
Source: RNAcentral
UUUAAAGAAGUCAUUGUAUUGCUUUCUUACUCAUGGACUUUGGACAAGAAAGUUUUAAAGAAGGUUUUUAGCCCUGGAGGAUAAAUGUCUGGAGUGUGUGUUGCAACUUGCUGAGGAGUUACGAUGCUGAUACAUUGAUGCUGUUGACCUGCCACCAACAGGAUAUGACCUUUGAGACAUUGAUUUCCCAAAGAAGCAUCUAUGUAACUUGUUCCCUUGACAUCGAUUUCUGAAUUGUCUCCUUGAAAAAAUGGAAGUCACCUACAAAAGAGUUGCAGGAAAAGUAGAAGACAUUGCUCCAUGAAGGAAGCAUGAAUGGUUACUUCAAAAGUUGGGAUAUAUGUGAGCAAGACUGUGGAUAGACAGAGACACUUCACAUUCUCUUGCAAAACUAUGUGUAUACAUCCCCCUGAGAAAUACGACUUUUCAUUUAGAUCAAUGUUCAUGUUGGGGGAGAGAGAGGAGACCUUUAUUUCUUCAAGGAAACACGAACUGGGUUAACCAUGGCUGCCUCUGGGUAGUGGGAUGGAGGAGUCUGAAAGGACGGGAUGCUCUGCUGCUCUGGACCACACUCAGGCGGUUCAUGUUUAAGAAGCUUGAGAAAAGCUUUAGGAGAGAUGCCUUCCCAGACUUGUGCUGUGCGGGGGGACGGAGGAAAGGAGGUGUGCCCGCUGAUCAUCUUUGGUGCCUUUCAAUGUUCUGCUGCAAAUGUCUUCAACAGCCAAAUCUCCUGACAGAAAGCAUCACCACGUGAAGAAUGCACCUGGGACACCUUCUCUAACCCUCCCCAGCCUCUCCGCCACCACACCUGACGCACCCUCUGCAAUACAGCACAUCAUGUACUGAACCGCUGCAGGCCACACUGAAGAACUGCCCUCUGGUUGUCACAUUGCUCCCCGGGGUGCAUUCUUCGUCCCCAAAUCUCUGAAGAGCACAGCUCUGUACCCUGAAGGCUGGCAGGACUUACUUAGGAAAACUGUCGCUUUGAGGCCCACACAGCCUAGAAAAACACGAUGAACUUGGUAACCAGAUGAUCCCAUUUAACAUAUGAUUCUACAGCAGAACCUCCGACUAUGAACAUCCUAUUGCGAAUAUCCUAUACAGAAUCAGGCAUAAGGGUCAGCUUUGGAAAGACUCGGCUUUGACCUGCUUACGUACCACUCACUCCCUCGGUUCCCCGAAACACCUCUCCCAGAAGCUCCAGAUCAGUUGCUGGGUGUUAAAUGAGAUCCAGAACAUCAGGCCCAGAGCACAGUGACUGCCUGAGCAGGACCAAGUGACUGAGAAAAGAAGCAAAGUGCAACUCUAUUUGAAAAAAUGGAAGCCAGUGUUCUGUGAUGGCAGAAAAAUUAAUAAAACUGGCCCCCCCCAGUAAUCCAGAAGAUGGAAAGAGCACAGCGAAACUUGCAGCCUUGGCUAAAGAGGUUCCACGAAUGUUGAAAGUGCCAGCCGUCUUCUUUGUAACUGUGUAUAAGGUCAGAUAUUUUGAUCGAAAGUGAAAGCAUAUCUGACUUACUCUGCCCUGCUUUUAGCAUCAUGUAGAGUUCCAUGGAAACAAAAGAAGAAAAAGCAUGAAAACAACUGAAGCUAAGGAGUCAGAACGAAGGUCGAUGUCGUCAUUUAAAUACAACAACAAAAAAGACCCUCACAAAUCAAGCCUGGAGAGAGAUUACUGGAGAUUGACAGGAUGAGAAACUACUGGUAUGUGAGACAAGCUCCUGGGGAGAGUUUCUGAUGCCAGGAUGCUCUGGAGCACCUCCCAGUGUGGCGUGACGAUCAGGUAAGCAAAGAUAAACGUAGGAAGAUUAUGAUACCCAGAGGAACCCUGGGAUGCAGCCCUGAGAUGCAGUGGGUGUUGAAGAUGCGUUCUAAAGACUCAGGAGGCAUUUUCUGGAAGGAGACUAACUGGAGGACAUGUAUAAGAAUGGUCUGACUGGUCCAGUGAACUGUAUGUGCAAAGAACAACCAGGAAGACGGUAUGAACUUCACGGCACUGCACAUAGUUCGGUAUUGCUGAAAGGAAGAAGGCAACUAUGACUCAGACUGGUAAGAAAGGAGGAAAGAAAUGUGAACCCUAAUGUCAUGAAGUUUCCGGUCCAGUGACGGAUACAGGUCAACAGACAGCUGCGAUUUUAACGGGGAACAUUGAGCUGCUGCAUCGUAUGACUUGGUCCAGAGCAAUGCUGCCCCACGGAAAGAGGAUGCAAGCCACAGAUGUGAGGGACACGUGUGAUUUAAAAUUUUCUGGCAUCCACAUUUCAAAAGAAAAAAAAAAGAGGAGAAAAUGGAGGCAGCGAGGUUAAGGAACUUGUUUGCGGUCACUCAGCUUGACAGUUGGAGCUGGGAUAUCAAACCCAGGCAGCAUGUCCCCUUGUGGCUCAGCGGGCCACACCCAUGGCAUGUGGCACUCCUGCAUGAUUUUAAAAAUGAAGAAUCCUUGUAUCGGAACGACUUACAAGAUGGAAUAAAACCUCAGGCAUAAGCCUUGAGCACGACGAACCCAUAGGCACCCAACUGCUGGUGGAAACUGAAGGGGUCCUCGUCCUGCCUGCCCUCUGAGUUCUCAGAAAAGAGAAACGCAGGAGAUCCUCGUUCUUUCCUUAUGCUCUUGUUAUCAGUGAAGAAACUUCAAGCCGCCCGGUGCAGAAAACCUAGCCAAUGGACAGAGGGUCGAAUCGAACAGAUGUUUUAUAAGUGGCAUCCAGUGAGACGGUGGAGAAUAUGUGCGAGCAGAAAAGACACACGCAACAGGUCUUCUCCACCGCUUGUAGCCUCCUUCAUGUGUCACACUUGUGACCCAUGGUGUACAAAAUUCAGAGACAAGGAGAGCACAAGGAUAAUCAGCUAACACUUGUGCCAUCUGGAAUCCUAAAUCAGCGAUCCAGCUGUGGUGUGCCGUCUCCCUUUGCUUUUCAAUCCUUGAGUCAUCGUUGUGCAAGAUGGCAGUCACUGCUUCUCAGUGGUAAUCAAGCCUUGGAGUGGUUACACCCCGAACAAAAUAUCGGGUCCUUGGCCAAAUUUUUAUCAGGAGGCGUUGCAGAAACUCAUUAACUCAUUUGAGUCAAAGAUCCAGAUGGGGAAACCGAGGCACAGAGAGGUGAAUUUCUUUUUUCAAGAUGAUGAUGGUGUAAGUACUGGUUAUAGAUUGGACUUGAACCGAGAAUCCAUGCAUUUAACCAUAAUCUCUCUGAUCCAGUUCCCUUAUCUCUUUAAAAACGGAUGUUGGCGUUCCUGUCCUGGCUUAGUGGUAACAAACCCGACUAGUAUCCAUGAGGACAUGGGUUCAAUCCCUGGCCUCGCUCAGUGGGUUAAGGAUCUUCUGGCGUUGCCACGAGCUGUGGUGUAGGUCACAGAUGCGGCUGGGAUCUGGCGUUGCUAUGGCUGUGGUGCAGGCCAGCAGCUGCAGCUCUGAUUCCACCCCCAGCCUGGGAACUUCCAUAUGCCGCAGGUGCGGCCCUAUAAAAAGGGGGGGGGCAAAAAAAAGAAAAAUGGAAAGGUAACUGCAGAUCUCAAAAAUUCUGAGCCAUCUGGAAGGUAGUAAUUCAGUUGCAAGCUAGGACCUGUCGACCCGUCUCCCAAUUGUAUUCUGGUGUAAUUUCCCUAAGAAAUAAGACAAAGAUAAACAAAGCGCAGACUAAAGCCCUGGACAAACCUAGAUGGUGGGUUUGAGAAAGAAGCUAGAAUGUUGCACUAGUGCUUUGUGAUAAUGAAGAGUCCAAGCCACAGCGACUAAUCAGCAGGUAAGGACCUGUUUCAAAAUCGUCAUGUCAGGUCCUUACCUGCUGAGGAGUCAGAUCCAUAAAGGCUCUAGAAAGAGCCUGUCCCGGGAGUUCUAAGGAGGAGGUCAGCUUUGCUGCUAACGCUUUGGUCCACAACCCCUUCACCUGUACUCAGCCUCGUCUUUCUUGCCCGUGCCCCCUCUCCUACCGCCCCCACCCCCGCCCCCAGACAGGCCUUCUGCUGCUGAAGAAAAGAAUCUGAAAGUAGAGCCACAGUCCACAAAGCUGACAGGGACAAGCAGGUGAUGGCAAUCCUAAGGUCCCCGUAGAAACAGCCGCCCACCCCCUCCGCCGUCAAACAGCCCACUUCCCUUGGUGUUAUUUGCAGACCCGAGCAAAGCCUUCUUGGCCUCCUAGCCUUUGGGGGUCACGAGCAGACUUGCCAAAUCAAGCUUUAGGCUCCAAGUUCGCAGCGAUUUUCCCACACCCACCGGAAGAGCUGCACUGGCUGUGGGGCCCAAAGCCAAUGGCAGAGAGGAUGGAGCCACCUGUAACGGGGGAGGCGUAGAUGGGUUAUCUGGGUCUCACCAGACCCUGAUCUGAAACAAGAGGAGCCAAGGCCAGCACUCCAGCUCUGAUAGGGGAAGGGGCGCUGGAGGCCAAGGAGAUGGGGUGAAAAGACUCACCUUCCUUACCUGAGAAAUCAGGGACCAGCUAUCAUAGGGAAAUCGCCC